Molecule: ribosomal RNA, 497 nt
Filed under: uncultured bacterium
Lineage: Bacteria
Description: partial 16S ribosomal RNA
Rfam family: Bacterial small subunit ribosomal RNA
Source: RNAcentral
GAUGAACGCUGGCGGCGUGCCUAAUACAUGCAAGUCGAGCGAACAGACGAGGAGCUUGUUCCUCUGACGUUAGCGGCGGACGGGCGAGUAACACGUGGAUAACCUACCUAUAAGACUGGGAUAACUUCGGGAAACCGGAGCUAAUACCAGAUAACAUGUUGAACCGCAUGGUUCAACAGUGAAAGACGGUCUUGCUGUUACUUAUAGAUGGAUCCGCGUCGCAUUAGCUAGGUGGUAAGGUAACGGCUUACCAAGGCAACGAUGCGUAGCCGACCUGAGAGGGUGGUCAGCCACACUGGGACUGAGGCACGGGCCAAAAUCCUAAGGGAAGCAACAGUAGGGAAUCUUCCGCAAUGGGCGGAAGCCUGACGGAGCAACGCCGCGUGAGUGAAGAAAGUCUUCGGAUCGUAAAACUCUGUUAUUAGGGAAGAACAAAUGUGUAAGUAACUAUGCACGUCUUGACGGUACCUAAUCAGAAAGCCACGGCUAACUACGUG